GGGAGGUAGUGACAAUAAAUAACAAUACGGGGUUCUUUCGGAUUUCGUAAUUGGAAUGAGUACAAUUUAAAUCUCUUAACGAGGAACAAUUGGAGGGCAAGUCUGGUGCCAGCAGCCGCGGUAAUUCCAGCUCCAAUAGCGUAUAUUAAAGUUGUUGCAGUUAAAAAGCUCGUAGUUGAAUUUCGAGAUCAAAUUGUUGGUCGUGCCUCGGUACGUACUGGCAUUAUUGAUUUCUCCCUUCUGACGAUCCGCGAUGUCAUUAAUUUGGUGUCGUGGGGAAUCAGGACUGUUACUUUGAAAAAUUAGAGUGUUUAAAGCAGGCUUACGCUUGAAUACAUUAGCAUGGAAUAAUGAAAUAGGACGGCAUGAUUCUAUUUUGUUGGUUUCUAGGAUCACCGUAAUGAUUAAUAGGGAUAGUUGGG
This 422-nucleotide ribosomal RNA is filed under the name uncultured Glomeraceae. Its description in RNAcentral is "SSU rRNA". It matches the Rfam family "Eukaryotic small subunit ribosomal RNA", at positions 459 to 886 of the family's 1831-position model. Lineage: Eukaryota; Fungi; Glomeromycota; Glomeromycetes; Glomerales; Glomeraceae. The record is from RNAcentral.